GCGGAUGAACUGUGGGUAGCGGAGAAAUUCCAAUCGAACCCGGAGAUAGCUGGUUCUCCCCGAAAUAGUUUUAGGACUAGCCUCAAGUUAGAUACCUGGAGGUAAAGCACUGAAUAGCCUAGCGGCCGAGAGGUUAGCGAAGCUUAUCAAACUCAGAAUGCCAGAGUAUUGAUGCUUGGGAGUCAGACAGUGUCAGAUAAAUGUCAUUGUCAAAAGGGAAACAGCCCAGAUCUACAGCUAAGGUCCCAAAGUCAGGUUAAGUGGAAAACGAUGUGAAGAUACGCAGACAACCAGGAUGUUGGCUCAGAAGCAGCCACUCAUUCAAAGAGUGCGUAAUAGCUCACUGGUCGAGCGUCUUUGCGCGGAGAAUUUAACGGGGCUAAACCUGACACCGAAGCUUAGGCAAUACAGCAAUGUAUUGGGUAGGGGAGCGUUGUAUACGCGGUGAAACAGUAGCGCAAGCGGCUGUGGAGUGUAUAGAAGUGAGAAUGCCGGAAUGAGUAGCGCGAAUGCAGUGAGAAUCUGCAUGGCCGAAAGCCUCAGGUUUCUGGAGGAAGGUUCGUCCGCUCCAGGUUAGUCGGGAGCUAAGGUGAGGCCUAACGGCGUAGCCGAUGCACAGACGGUAGAGAUUCCGUCACCACCAAAAGAGUUAAACACAGGGACACAUUUGAAGUCUCGGAGCCGGGUGUUGGUUCCGGUAGCGAUCGAGGGAAAUUAGUACCGAAGUCCGGGAUGGAAGAUGGCGAGAAAAGCUGUGUGUAUUUCUGCGGUGCCCGUACCGCAAACCGACACAGGUAGGUAGGAAGAAGAUUCUAAGGCCAACGGGAGAAGGGUUGUUAAGGAACUCGGCAAAUUGACCCCGUAACUUCGGGAGAAGGGGUGCUCCAGAGAUGGAGCCGCAGAGAAUCGGCCCAAGCAACUGUUUACCAAAAACACAGGUUUGUGCUAAAUCGAAAGAUGACGUAUACGAGCUGACGCCUGCCCGGUGCUGGAAGGUUAAGAGGAGAUGUGCAAGCAUUGAAUCGAAGCCCCAGUGAACGGCGGCCGUAACUAUAACGGUCCUAAGGUAGCGAAAUUCCUUGUCAGGUAAGUUCUGACCCGCAUGAAAGGCGUAAUGAUUUGGGCACUGUCUCAACAGCCCGCCCGGCGAAAUUGUAGUACCGGUGAAGAUGCCGGUUACCCGCGACAAGACGGAAAGACCCCAUGGAGCUUUACUGUAGCCUAAUAUUGGGUUUCGAUGUUGCAUGCACAGGAUAGAUGGGACACAGGGAAACAAGUGCUUUGGCAUUUGUGGAGUGGCCGUUGGGAUACCAUCCUUGCGAUAUUGGAAUUCUAACCUGCGCCUUUGAAUCAAGGCGGGGGACAUUGUUAGGUGGGCAGUUUGACUGGGGCGGUCGCCUCCUAAAGAGUAACGGAGGCGUUCAAAGGUUCGCUCAGCUUGAACGGAAAUCAAGCAAAAGAGUGCAAACGCAGAAGCGAGCCUAACUGCGAGACUGACGGGUCGAGCAGUAACGAAAGUUGGAGUUAGUGAUCCGGUGGUAUGUGAGUGGAAAUGCCAUCGCUCAACGGAUAAAAGUUACCCUGGGGAUAACAGGCUGAUCUCCCCCAAGAGUCCACAUCGACGGGGAGGUUUGGCACCUCGAUGUCGGCUCAUCACAUCCUGGGGCUGUAUUCGGUCCCAAGGGUUCGGCUGUUCGCCGAUUAAAGUGGUACGCGAGCUGGGUUCAGAACGUCGCGAGACAGUUCGGUCCCUAUCUGUCGUGGGCGCAGGAUAUUUGAGGAGCUCUGUCCUUAGUACGAGAGGACCGGGAUGGACGUACCUCUGGUGCACCAGUUGUCAUGCCAAUGGCACGGCUGGGCAGCUAUGUACGGAACGGAUAAACGCUGAAAGCAUCUAAGCGUGAAGCCGACUCCAAGAUUAGAUAUCCCAUCGUAUAACGAGUAAGACCCCUUGAAGACUACGAGGUUGAUAGGCUGCGUGUGUAAGUGCCGUGAGGCAUUCAGCUUGGCAGUACUAAUAGGUCGAGGGCUUGACCA
Molecule: ribosomal RNA, 2037 nt
Filed under: human gut metagenome
Description: bacterial LSU rRNA
Rfam family: Bacterial large subunit ribosomal RNA
Source: RNAcentral